AAACGCUUGAAGUCCAGUCGCGUCACUCAGGGAUCAACCUUGCUUUUGCUUGGUGUACUUUCUGGUUGAUGGGUCAACAUCAAUUUUGAUCAGUGGAUAAGAAUCGAGGGAAUGUGGCACCUUUGGGUGUGUUAUAGCCUUUGGUUGUAUGCAUUGGUUGGGAUUGAGGAUCUCAGCA
RNAcentral lists this ribosomal RNA (178 nucleotides) under Agaricales sp. RNAcentral's name for it is "partial large subunit ribosomal RNA". The record is from RNAcentral. Lineage: Eukaryota; Fungi; Basidiomycota; Agaricomycetes; Agaricales.